Molecule: small nuclear RNA, 23 nt
Filed under: Arabidopsis thaliana (thale cress)
Lineage: Eukaryota; Viridiplantae; Streptophyta; Magnoliopsida; Brassicales; Brassicaceae
Description: snRNA_05611
Source: RNAcentral
AUGUGCAAAUAUUGCUCAGAUUC